UAAGGAAUAUUGGUCAAUGGACGCAAGUCUGAACCAGCCAUGCCGCGUGGAGGAUGAAGGUCCUCUGGAUUGUAAACUUCUUUUAUCUGAGAAGAAACCCGGGAAUUCUUUUCCGGUUGACGGUACCAGAUGAAUAAGCACCGGCUAACUCCGUGCCAGCAGCCGCGGUAAUACGGAGGGUGCAAGCGUUAUCCGGAUUCACUGGGUUUAAAGGGUGCGUAGGUGGGCUAGUAAGUCCGUGGUGAAAUCUCCGAGCUUAACUCGGAAACUGCCGUGGAUACUAUUAGUCUUGAAUAUCGUGGAGGUAAGCGGAAUAUGUCAUGUAGCGGUGAAAUGCUUAGAUAUGACAUAGAACACCGAUAGCGAAGGCAGCUUGCUACACGAUCAUUGACACUGAGGCACGAAAGCGUGGGGAUCAAACAGG
RNAcentral lists this ribosomal RNA (424 nucleotides) under uncultured bacterium. RNAcentral describes it as "bacterial SSU rRNA". It matches the Rfam family "Bacterial small subunit ribosomal RNA", at positions 355 to 776 of the family's 1533-position model. The record is from RNAcentral.